UAAAAUAUAGUAAAUGUAUGGGGUAAAAAA
Molecule: non-coding RNA, 30 nt
Filed under: Mus musculus (house mouse)
Lineage: Eukaryota; Metazoa; Chordata; Mammalia; Rodentia; Muridae
Source: RNAcentral